This is a long non-coding RNA of Rhineura floridana, 3838 nucleotides long. RefSeq lists it as uncharacterized. The record is from RefSeq and is a predicted model, not a curated record. The transcript has 6 exons. Lineage: Eukaryota; Metazoa; Chordata; Lepidosauria; Squamata; Rhineuridae.
UGUAGGGAGGGUGGGGCAGGGCUUUCCCCCCCUCUUCUUCCAACCGCAACCUUGUAAACCCAUCUCUUCACACACACACCCGCCUUUCUGAAAUACGCCAAGAAUUCCACCGGUAGCAUCGACCACCCCCUGCACCAGGUGACGUGUAAAGAGUUUCUCGCUUGCCUCUUCAUCCAUAGCCUUUCACUAUCAAGGCCAUCCUGUACUCUGCUGGUAUACGAAUUUCCUCCUUAAGGCCAUUUAGGUGCAAUCCUUAUUCCCGCUCCUCGGGGAGUAGCCCUCUUUCAGCGCAUCCAUGCGAUUUUUUUGCCAUGGGCUUCCACAGACUGGGCUCCAACGCCAGGGUGCAUGGCUAACUACUGCCCCUCCCCUCCGUGUUUUAACAGUAACAGCCGGAUCAGUGCAUAUUUAUUUGGAAAUAAAUCCCACUGGGUUCAGUGGCGCUCCCCCCCUUCGAAGUCUCCAUAGGACUGCAGCUGUCAGUUGCAUUCCGAAGCACACUGACUUGCCAGUCAGCCGUUGCAAUCUAUGAGUCUCGUUUCCGAAUAAACAUGCAAAAGAUCAGGCUGUAAUUCGACGCUCACCGACUUUUGGAGCGAGCCUACCGGACUCCGCAGGACUGAUUUCAACACGCUGAAGAGUCGGCUGCACGGCCGCAAGUACACAAAGUGGGAUCAGGAUUCCCUGGAAUAUUUUUUUCCUCAAUUCUUCCACUCUCUCUAGCCUUCCCCACGCCGUCACCUUAUGUUUCCUCCUUCUCCCGCAAACUCCCUUUCCAAAAGCGCUAUCCUAUUUCCAGCCUAAUAAUAAAUCUGCGUGGGGAAGCUGAUUUUUGUGAUCCACGCCCCCCCUUUCAAACAAAGGGGUCUUUCGUUGAUGAAGCUGGAUUUCAAAACCUCCCCUUUCGCCAACUUCUCUGAAAAGUGCUCCAAACUUUGGGGCAUCAGGCAACAAGCAGACGUGCGAGACAAAACAAGGAACAGCCCCAAAGCAAAACGGAGCCGAGCGCCUCUCUUUGCAAAGGGCUCCAAGACCCAUGCGCGAAGCACGCACUCACACUUCCCAAAGUCAGAAGGAAUGGGUGCUAUAUAUAUAUUUUAAAAGCCAACAAAAACGCAGAAGCAGAGCCGGAAGUUUUACCAUGUCUUCGGGGCUUACAGCUUCGUCAAUUUUCCAUCCUUUCCCCUCCAUGACACCCAAAGUCUCCACGUGUUUAUUUAUUUCCUCCCUUCCCCAAGAAAACUUAAGAGAAAGAGACGGGUGUUGGCGCAGGCCCCAGCGGGUCUGACCGCUGCUCGGACGGACGUCGGCAGGGAGGCGAUCCGAACACGUUUUGAGCAGAUGGAGAGACGGCCGGUUUUGUUUUGUUUUGGACAGCCCUCAGUUGCUGCGUCUUAAUGGCCCAGCAUUAACCUCCUCCUCGACUCCCGAAUUUGCAGUUCGAUUCGGAUUGGAAUUCUCAACCCACCGCCGCGUAUUUAAUGGAAGGGCGUUCAAGUCCAUCUCCCCCAACGCCCCCUUGAGCGCCCAGAUGGGGAGCCCAGCAAGUCCCAGUACUUGGCCGGCGGAUCCCAAAUGAAACGCGGGGGGCUUCCUCCUGACUGAACGUGGUUUGGAUCUGGCCAGGAGGGUGUUCAGUGAUCUUGAGCCUGCGACCUUGGAAGGAGCUAGUUGUGGUUCUCCCAUUUACCUUGCUGUAAGAUUGAUUUAAAAGCGGCAAACAAGAAAUUGCGGGUAUCUCCCUGCCGGCGACCAUACCAAACAUGUCGCUGGACUUGAACUAGCCAGGGACUUGCAAGCUGGUCUAGGAUCAACCAUUGCAUUAACUGAUUCUAAAUAUGUGCCUGGUCAGACCUAACACAGACCAAUUAUUUCAGCGCAUAUCGCUGCGUGGAAGUUUUUUGUCCAAUUUUAUUCUUAUGGCAAGCCUAAUAAUUAAGGGAUCCUCCCCGCCCCCCAGCGAGUUUAAUCCUGUUAACAAACAAAUCAAUGGGAUUAAUUUCCCAAUGUGUUUGGGCUCUGCGAGUAAGAAUAUUGACCCCCGCGCAUUAAACACCCCCUUUUUCUUCCUCGAGAGACUCUGGUUGCAGGGAGCUUUAAGGAAAUUCACCUUCCCACAAAAGAACCAGGACCCACCAGAGUCCUUUCCAGUGCCGAAAUCUGUGAAGUGUUAGCCACAAGCUGUGAAAUCAGAGAUUAAAAAGUGUGUCUUCAAGCAUGUGCAGAGUGUCCCGCCGUCACUCCCGAAUAACCUGCGAUCAGACCACUUCCACGCACAACUGGGAUAGCGUGUGUGUGUGUCUGUGUUGUGGGAAGAGUUUUCUGGGUCCAUUUCUUCAGCUUCGGCACUUCUCAUUUUAGAAAUCCUAUACCCACUUAGUUGGGAGUCAGCCGUGUUGAAGUCAAUGGAACCUACUGUUGAGUAGACACAUUCAGGAUUGCACCGACGGGCGCAGAGUUUACAGCAGCGGUGACAAGCCCCCCGCCCCAGUCCAAGCAGAGGAACCUUACUCUUCCUUUCUGGGGGUGUCCUCCCCACCCACCGUUCACCGACCCCGAGCAUGGGCUUCUUUCCCAUGCCCACCAAACUUUCUUAACACAGCAGUAUAAAGCAAAGGCACCUCGUUGCCCCAAGUCUCCUAUAAGUAACCGACGAAAGGAACCCCGCAGUCCAUGCAUGCACGCACGCACUCUCUCCCCUUUGCUCAUCCCCAGCACGGGAGUGAGGCUGGCUCUCUCUUGCCCGCUCUCAGCCCUAGGUAAACAGUGCCAAAGCGGUUUGAUUGAUGACCGGUACUUUCGCUCCCACAGCCAGCCUUAGGUUUUCCAGCCGGCUUACUGCAAAAGGUAGGCUUUUGGUGGGGGUGGGGAAGGGCGAAAAGGCAGCCGUGGAGAAGCACCCCGCGGGCAAGAAGGUCUCUUUCUUUUUUACCUGCAAUCACGCCGGGCUGCGCCUACGAUCUCCUGGCGAGAGCUUGUCCAUGGCAAAGUGUGGCCGCUUCUUUUCGCCUCGAUCGCAGCAGCGGCGCGCUUGGGAGAGAGCAGCAGCAGCAGCAGCAGCUAUAGCAGCUCGCUAAUGGAGACAUUGCUCAGUGUAUAUAAUACCUGACUGGAGUCCGUCCGACUAGUGAGUGCCUCCAGUCCCCAGGCACCACAGUCACUUCACUAACCCCCUGUACCGGAGUGACGUUCGAGUGAAUAGCUGCGCUCAUCGCGUGCCUUUUCCUCCUCCUGAUUAACACUUUCCAACGCUGCCCUCGCUCGCUCCUGCGACUCCCCCGCUCGCAACUUUCGCUGGUGGCUGCUGUCAACGCAGAAGUAAGGGUCCUGAUCCCACUUAUAUUGGAAGUGCUUCAGCUUCAGAAGAAACAGGAGGAAGGGUGAUCAGACACAGCAAAACUAUACUGCUUCCAGCACUUGAAGAAAGAGAGGAAUACUGCUAAGAAGCGUCCACAGGCAGUGGCGUUAUAGCAAGGAGAUCCAUUUGAAAGCCUGGUUAUACUACCGCCAAUCACCUCUUCUUGUGGAGGUGGGGAGAGUAGAAGCAGAAGGUAGAAAAGAGGACAUGGAUGUUGGAAGACUGGAAGGAGCUACCAGAGGAUAAACAGUCACAGAUUAACAGAGAGAAAUGGUUUUAUGAAUGAACACAUGGGAAAGUGGCACAGAGACUGGAAACAGACUAAGUCUAGAAGAACGUUUUCCAGAAAAAGAGAAAAAGGAUUUCAUGCACUUGGUCACUGAGGAAGACAGGUUGUUGAAACACAUCUGCCUGGCCAAAACACCAAAGGAAAACUUUUUAAAAUAUGUAUUUGUCUUAUCAACUGGUGAUAUAAGUGCC